ACCCUAAGUCUAUAUUAGUUAAUCCUAAGGGUAUAAUUGUCUUUUACUCUUCAUUAAAAGUGAAGAUAGAAGUGGUUAGUAUAAACAUGAAAAAUGGUACUAUGAAUGUGCUAUUUGUGGCAAUUUCCCAUAUUUUUAAAAUAAGCUAUAAUAUAUUGUACUUCAAAAUAAUUUUGUAGUAAUGAUCUUAUUUGAGAAAUUACUUGAAAUACACUAAUUUCGGUAAAAUAGUUUUAUUUUUUUAUUGGAAAUAGAAAUGGAUCUUUCUAACAAAAUCUUUUGAAAAUCUUUGUAAAAUGUAUUUUAGAAAAUUAAUCAUUUAAUUUUUAAAUAUCAUUAAAAUAUAGUUAAUAAUAUUUUUAUAUUUUUUUAAAAAAUAUAUAUAAAUAAAAACUAAAUUAGAUUAUAAUUUCUAGUUAUAGUUUAUUAUUAUUUAAAUUUAAAUUAAUUACUUGUUAAGUAAAUUUUAAAAUGAUUCUGAAUUCUUUUUAAAAGUAUUUUGUUAGAAUGUUCUAAUAUAUAUUUAUUUGUAUUUCAUAUAAAAAGAUGAAGAUAUUAAAUCAUGGCUAUAUUAAUAAUGUGUAUUAUAGUUCUCUUGAACUCUAGGUGAAAGAAUACAGUUUAUAAUGUUCCUUUUUAAUUAAUAGCUACAAUUAAAUUUAAAUAAUAUGUCGCACGUUAAAAAAAAAGAAGAAGCAUAUGUUUAGGAAGGAAAUCAGGAAAAUAUCUCAUUAAUAAUACGUUUACUUAGUUGUUUAGGAAAAUAAAAGACUAAAAUGCAACCAUAAUUACUGUUAUGAUAUUAUUAUGCAAAUAGAAAAUUUCAUCAAAGUAAUUAUCUAAUAGAAGGUCCAACUUAAAAAAAUCACACAUAAAAAAAAGUGGUGACUUCUGUUUUAAUAUAUAAGAUAUAAUAGAUUCGCGUGACAACCUUAAACAAUCAAUUUGUCAUCGCUGAAAAGGUUUCGUCCUAAACAUCAUCGGCCGUCUGUUGAUAUUACUUAGAGUGUGAUCGGUAAUUUUGGAGUAAAUAAGAGAAAAAUAAAAAGGUGAAAUAUAAGAGUGACUGGUAAAUAUUGGCAUAAAUUAGAGUAAUUAUAAUAGAGUAAACUGGUGAAAAAGUAACAGAGUAAACUAGAUGAAAUAUGAGAAAAGAAAUGAUAAAAAACAAACAAAAAAAAAAGUUAGUGGCAAGAAAAGGUUUCCCUCCUCAAAAACUACGAUGGAAAAAAAAGGUCACAUUACCUCUAUUUAAACAGUGACCAGCGUAAAUGAAUAAAAUAUCAUUAAUUCUUUAUUUCAUCUGAUUGGUAAACAGACCAGCAGAAUUGAGAGUAAUAUGUUUUUAGCUGAAUUAUUAUCGCCAAAAGUGACGUACAGUCAUACCCUAGUGAAAAGGUUAAAAUGAGAGAGAGGAAAAUAGAGUAAAUGGGUGAAAAAUAAAUUAAAUUAAGUUUCACUCAUGUGUAGAGAGAGAGGAAAAUAGAGUAAAUGGGUGAAAAAUAAAUUAAAUUAAGUUUCACUCAUGUGUAGAGUAGUGUAACAUUUUAUUCCAUUUCAAUAGUAGUGGAAGUAAAUAAAUAAAAAUAUAUUUUCACCUGAUUGGUGAUUUAUGAGAGUAACUGGGAAUAACUAAGUUUUCCACUCAAAUAUUUACUCUAAAAGUACCUUUCAGUCAUAUACUUAGGUAUGAUUGGUAACUUUAGAGUAAAUCAAAAUAAAAAUUAAAAGUGUGAUUGGUAACUGGUAAGUAGUAGAGUAAAUAGGAAUAAUUAAAGUAGAGUAAAUAUGAAUAAAAGUGAUAGUAAAUAAAAAAAAGCGUUGGAAUAAACAAAUAAAUGAAUAAUAAAAGUUAGAAGCAGAGUAAAUGAUUUCCUCUCUGUAAACUACGAUGGAAAAAGGUGGAAGUACCGUAGCCUAUUGGUUAAGGUUUAAAGGCUUCUACACCCAGGUCUGGGGUUCGAAUCCCAGACUAUACAAUUUAUUGCAGAUUACAGGAAAUCCAGGUUUCAAGUCCCGGAGAAAGCGGUUUAUUAAACAAUUAUGCAGAUUACAGAGAAAAGACUUUCAAGGGAUCUUCAACAUGGUGCAAGUAAAUCUGGCCAGGCGUGGAUCUUCAUAGGACGGCUCAGGUGAUGCAGUUGGCGUAGGUCUUCAUAAAGCAGAUAGUAUUGUCGGUUGUCGAAUCGUCUAUGUAAUCUUUCCUAUAUCAUAAUUGUAAGAUCGUAAUAAAUCAGCGUUAAAAAAAAAAACUACGAUGGAAAAAGGUAACUAGUAUACCUUGGUUUAAACAGUAGCGAGCGAAACAUAAUUGAAUAUGAUUAAAUUUGUUUUCCACUUGAUUGGUAAAUUCACCGGCUGAAGUGAGUGGAAUAAGAUUCCAGCUGAAAUAUUAUCGCUAAACUUGACAUACAAUCAUAGCUUAAAGGUCGAAAAUGGAGUAAAACUAAAAUGUGGAAACCAAUAAAAUAAAAAGAAAUAAGAAAAAAGUGUAUUACUCUAGCAAAAGAGAGAGUAAAGUUGGGUGUGUAUUUCUAUUUAUUUGAAUAGUGAGUAGAAUAAAAAAGAAAUAAAUGAUUUCUACCUGAUUGGUGAGUUAUUCGUAAAACACAGAGUAAAUAAAUAACUUCUUGGAGUAAAAGUUGUGCUAGAGUGACUAUACAAUCACAACCUUAUAUGUUCUUUUUCAUAAGAACAAAAUGCUAUAUCUGAAUAAACAUAAGAUUUGUUUGUGUGCUUAAUUGUGAUUCUUGUUUUUAAACAUUUUGAGAAUGAAGAAUUUUCUUUUUAGGGCUACAACGAAAGUUACGGUUAACAGUAUAAUUAAACGAAAAGUUGAUUAAAGAAAGAGGAUUAAUUAGAGAAAAAUUAGAGAAGUGUCCAAUGAUUCAGGGAACAGGUGUCCCUUUUGGCAACGACUACUUCAGUCUUUUCUUGUUCUGAAUUAAUUACUUGAUCUCAACCAACUAAUGACCUAAGUUUUUUAUUUUUUUUUGUAAAAAUUAAUGACCUAAGUUUUAAACACCAAAAGGUCCAAAACUAUCCGAUUUUGGAAUCUUAAUGGCAUGUUUGUAACUUAUCCAACUUUCCCUGGUAAAAAAAUAGUACAUGCAAAUUUGUUUAGCAUAAUAUCAAAAAUUAUCAUGUUAAUAAAUAAAUAGAAUAUGACGUAACAUAAACAACUUGAAUGAGAAUAACCACAUUUUGAAAUGUUUGUCACUGAUUGUAUCGAAUGGUUUUAACUAAUUGAAGAAAUGUCAAAAACUAAAUAAAGUAAUAUUAGAUACGAUAAUGUGGUUUACGCAUUAGCUUUAGAUUUUAGUUAGUUAGAUAGAACCAGUUUGUACCAAUAAAUUAUAAUUGUAUAUAAUAACUUGUACAUCGACAUUUUACUCCGAACAGAAUCAUUAAUCAAAAUUUCCAAGAUUCUUUUUUCAUCUUUAUCUCAUUCAGGAUAGCUUCAGUUUCUGUUCAACAUCAAACCUCAAAUCUACUAAAAUUAAUAUGAACGAUACUACUACUUAUACGUGAUGUCGUGAAUUCAUUCCAUGGUUCCAUCAUUUCACAAAUUAUCAAAAACCUAUAGUAUAUUCAUCUUAUGUAGGCUUACCAGCCCAGUUACAAAGGGCCCAUUUUGUUGUAACGUAUCUUGCGUCUAUCGUAUUCUUUGGAGUUCAAACCGACUGUAAAUCCACAAAGAGCCUUUUUAGUUUUGUUAUUUUAUGAAAACAUCGUCAACAAGUUCUUCAUUAUUCACGCCACGUUCCUAUCAGCAGUACGUAGUAACUAGUAACCCAUUCUUAACAUGGUAUACCACAAAGGAGUUAGCUUUACUGGCUUGGUAAACCUUUAACAUUAUAUAUAUCUGCCUUGAUCCAGUGGCAGCUAUGUCGAGAGUAUGUAGGAGAAGGCAAGACGCUCACGUAGAUUGUUUGUUCCAUUGAUUCGAUCUAGAGUCUGCAUUUCACGUCAAAUUUGAAACCUGCAAGGCUGCACGUUCGCUUCUUGUGUCAAAAUGAUCACCGUUGAAGAGAAGAAGAAUUAGAGGGAUACGUGGUUAGCUGCAUGCACAAGUAGUCUUUUAUUUUUGUAACACUCAUGUUUAAAAAAUAAGAGAAAACUAAGUGGGGAGUUGGACCGAGCUAAUCACUAGUCUACCACGUCCGGUGGUCACAACUGAUCAUUUCUGCAUGUUAUAUAGGCAAUCCGGCCCGCAGAAGCAGCUUACGUCCCGGGGCCGGCUUAACUAUGCGGGCGAAAUAAAUAAGUAUAAAUAUGACCACCCCGGGUCCAUCAAAUUAAGAGUCCAAAUUUUUCAAAAAAUAAUUUUUUUUAGAAUUUUUUAUGAAGAAAUAAAUAAGUAUAAAUAUGUUUAAAUAACUUUUAUUUUAUAUGUUUUUACAUCUAAAGUUAAUAAUAUUUUAUACAAUAUAGUUUUUUAAAAAAUAUGCUUAAAUGUUUUCUAUAUAAUUACUAAAGGGUCUAAAAAUAUUUUUGCCCAAAGGACCUUAAAAACUAUGAGCCGGCCCUGCAUGUCCGAACGAUGAAAUAUAUAGUUGUAUUGAUCAAAGGGUCUUUAACUGAUCUGAUAGAGGACUAAAAACUCUCGAGAUCUCCCGUAAGUGUAGAUAUACUCUCUCGACACUCGAGUCAAGGGAGCCUACGUACAUAUAUUCUUUAUAUAUUUCUUAUGUCAUAUGUGAGACUAACGAUACUACUCGUCAAUUAGUUUGUUUGACUAAGUUUCACUUUGAACACUAAUUAGAUUUGUACAACAAUUAAUCAUAUUAAUUGAUGAAUCUUUAAAAAAUACUACUCCUGAGCUAACCAUGUAGUCCGGACCAGGGCUGGAUCUAGAUUUAAAUAUAGAUGGGGGCGGGACAUAAAUAAAUUUCACAUUGUAUUAAAUUUUUGAUGGGGGCAUUCUAUAUACUUCGUAUAAAAUAUUAAAGAAAAAUAACAAAUUAGUUGGGGAACGUGCCCCGGUACGUUAACCCUUAAGUCCGCCCCUGGUCUGGACCGGACUCAAGUUGGAAAUAUACUAGACAAUCGGAGUGGACAAAACUAACAUAUGUGAAUUUCAUGGAUCUAAAGCUGAAUGGGUCUGUCUUGACCGAGUAACCGGAUUGAUAUCACUACGGCACGCCGGGACUAGACUUGGCGAGGAGAAAAUGUUGACCAAGGCACACCAAUUUAUAGGUUAACUAACAUGAAAAUAUAAGAGUUUAAAAUCUGAAUUAUAACACAGGGCAUUUCCAAUUGUUUUUUACUAAACUUUUGGCAUUUCCAAUUUUUACCUUCAUUUUUUUCUUUCAAAAUGAAUAAAUUCUAUCAUUAAUAUUUAUUACUAAUUUUAAUACUUUUUGUUAUUUAUAAACUUACAAAUCUUAUCAAAAUAAAAUUUUCUUUUAAUUAAAUAUUUAUUUUAUAUACAUAAAUGUGGUUAUUCAUUUUUUAGUAUUUUUAAGUUGUGAGUUCUUUUGUCUAUAAUUCAUUAAUAUUUAACCAAAAAUUAGCAAUAAUAUGUAUAAUAACUUGUUGUUCAAAAAUUAUCCUCUCCAUCGUUUUAUAAGUUUGCUAUAACAAAUUCUAUGUUGCGACGGUUUAUAAUUGGGGAAAUUUUACUUAUACACUUUCUUUGGUACCACAUUUCAAGUAUACUACAAGUAUGGGGACAUUUUCACAAAUACACUUUUCAUUAAUGACCAAAAGACCAUACUAGCCCUAACCUAAUUCUCUCUCGCGAUCCUCUUCUCUUCCUCUCUCCCUCUCUCUCUGCGAUCUUUUUUCUUCCUCUCUGCCUCCGAUUCACCGGAGAUCCACCGUCUCUCUCUCAUUCCACCGGUGCGGUUCUCGUGGCAGAAAAUUUUCAGGCUUUCUAUAUCGAUUUUGAAUGUUUGGUUACUUUAACAGCCUCCUUGUGUGGAUGGAUCUGGAAAUUGAAAAUUGAAUAGCUUUGGUUCUGUUGAGAGAAGCAGCAGAGUUGAGUAGAUCAUGACACUGACAGAGCAAGUGUUACAUGUUCCAUGAGCUAUAUGGUUGAAGUUGGGAAGAGUUGAGCCUGGUUGAAUUUUCCAACACUGCUAUGAAAGUGAGAUUACUGUGUGUUUUCAAAUUUUGACUCGCUUACCUUUUAAAUUAAAUCACUGAUUUGUGCUUCUUAUUUUAUACACAAGGAAACUGGAACAUCGUUGCAGACGUUGACUUCAGCUGCUACCAUGGAGCGUCUUGGUGGAGGUAAUAUCGUCCAGCCUUCUCUGUCUACGAGAGAUGCACUGGAUAAGUAUCAUAUUGUUACGCAGAAGAUGGAGGACUUAGUGGCUAAUAAUUCAGGAGAUGGUGAAAUUCAGGUACUUGAGUUCCUAGUGCAUAAGUUGUUAUAGUGAAGUUUCAUUUUCCAUUUUGUGUUCACCUAUAAUUAAUGGAAUUUUGAGUUUUUUAAAUAUUUUGUAAUUUUGGGAAAUGGUUUGGUGGUUUUUGGCCAUUUAAUGUCUAUCUGUUUUGACAUUGAUUCAUUCAUUGAUGAUCUCAUUAAUUUUUCA
Long non-coding RNA from Brassica napus (rape), 6542 nucleotides. RefSeq lists it as uncharacterized. The record is from RefSeq and is a predicted model, not a curated record. The transcript has 2 exons. Lineage: Eukaryota; Viridiplantae; Streptophyta; Magnoliopsida; Brassicales; Brassicaceae.